UGAAAACUUGCUUCCCAAACUUUUCCCCCCACCUCGUGCACACUGUACGCUGUGUUUGUUUGAGUGUUAUAGAACUCAUCCAAGUUUUCAUUUUCAAUCUACUUCAUUGUGAUCCUGAUGAGCUUUUCGGAUGAAUCUACGCUUCACAGGACCCGUCAGCAUAUAGGUUUCUCCUUAUUCUUUCAGCAGAUUCAAAAACUGCUUUGUUUGCCAAUCAGAACUUUUCUCCUCUGAAGUGACUCCUCUAGGUUAUGUCUCAUUUGUUUCUUUCUGAUAUAAAUUUUUAAGAUUCAGAAUGCUCCUGUUUGUCUUAAGAAUACUUCAAUUUCGUGAAGAAUGUCUUACAUGACAUCCCGUAGUGACGAUCAAGCUCCCGACCAUUAUGGAGGUGGCACAGCCGGAGGGAUCGUCACCCCUGAUAUGCAUGUUUUAAAUCAGCCUGAUACCUUCGGAAUGCAGAAUCCUAUUGAUAUGAACGCUCCUCAGCCUCUCAGGAAUGAUAAUGAUAUUUCUAGUUCAGAUCCAUUAAUUCUGAAUCAGGAGACUCAUUUCCUUCCUGACUAUGGAACUGAUUUCGACUCUCUACCCGUCUAUCAUGAUGACGUUCUACCACCUGGUGUUGGAGAUCUUCCUGAUUACCCAAAUGCACCAAUUAGUGAGAACAAUGGGUUUUACUGCAAUGUAAACCAUCCUAUCAAAGCCGAGAAUAAAUUAGACGAUGACAUCAAUGCAUUCUUGAGUAAAACUUCCGAAAAACAUGAAAACAAGCUAAAGCGAGACAUAGACAACUUUGUGAAGAUGAAUUCAAAGGCUGCCGACCGACGCAUGAGUGAAGAUAUCAAAGCAUUUCUGAGAAGAUGUAGAAGUCCUUCGCCCAUUGAAAGUGCGAAAAGUUUGUUUCCAAAAACUAAAAGUUACUCAAAACCAAGUCGGAGUUCAAGUCGAGCACCCUCGAAAGCCAGAGCUUCAUCGCCAUUUGACAGUAAACUAGCAGCUCGCCAAUCUCGAUCAAUGAGACCGUGA
This 1023-nucleotide long non-coding RNA is filed under the name Bemisia tabaci. Its description in RNAcentral is "lncRNA ENSSSA2NGG010376". The record is from RNAcentral. Lineage: Eukaryota; Metazoa; Arthropoda; Insecta; Hemiptera; Aleyrodidae.